AGUGAACGCUGGCGGUAGGCCUAACACAUGCAAGUCGAACGGCAGCACAGUAAGAGCUUGCUCUUACGGGUGGCGAGUGGCGGACGGGUGAGGAAUACAUCGGAAUCUACUUUUUCGUGGGGGAUAACGUAGGGAAACUUACGCUAAUACCGCAUACGACCUACGGGUGAAAGCAGGGGAUCUUCGGACCUUGCGCGAUUGAAUGAGCCGAUGUCGGAUUAGCUAGUUGGCGGGGUAAAGGCCCACCAAGGCGACGAUCCGUAGCUGGUCUGAGAGGAUGAUCAGCGACACUGGGAGGGGGAAACGGUGGGGAAUACUACAGGAGGCGGGAGAGGCGAAUCAUGGAAUAUGGGGGAAAGGCUGAUCGAGUUAUGGUGGGUGAGCCAUGUAGGUGUGAGAGAUAUAAAGCAGUUUAAUACCGGAUGGUAAUGACGGUACCGAAAGAAUAAGCUCCGGCUAACUUCGUG
RNAcentral lists this ribosomal RNA (467 nucleotides) under uncultured bacterium. RNAcentral's name for it is "partial 16S ribosomal RNA". It matches the Rfam family "Bacterial small subunit ribosomal RNA", at positions 30 to 507 of the family's 1533-position model. The record is from RNAcentral.